This 337-nucleotide long non-coding RNA is filed under the name Brassica napus (rape). Its description in RNAcentral is "long non-coding RNA (BNAP_LNC006697)". The record is from RNAcentral. Lineage: Eukaryota; Viridiplantae; Streptophyta; Magnoliopsida; Brassicales; Brassicaceae.
GGUGACCCUCCAAAGCCAUCUCCACACCCCGUUAAACCGCCUAAACAUCCCGUUAAACCGCCUAAACCACCCACCGUUAAACCACCUCCACACACUCCGAGACCGCCAACCGUCAAGCCUCCGCACACUCCAUCCCCUCCACAUUCUUUUCCACCGUACACUCCAAAACCUCCCACUGUCAAGCCACCGCCACAGCCAACUCCAACCCCAUCCCCUCCACCACCGUACGUCAAGCCACCACCAGUGCCAACCCCAGAGACGCCAUGCCCGCCACCACCGCCACCGUCACCACCACCAACCCCAUGUCCUCCUACACCUCCAGCGCCAACCCCUGAAC